This 430-nucleotide ribosomal RNA is filed under the name uncultured bacterium. RNAcentral describes it as "partial 16S ribosomal RNA". It matches the Rfam family "Bacterial small subunit ribosomal RNA", at positions 29 to 506 of the family's 1533-position model. The record is from RNAcentral.
AACGAACGCUGGCGGCAGGCUUAACACAUGCAAGUCGAACGCCCCGCAAGGGGAGUGGCAGACGGGUGAGUAACGCGUGGGAACAUACCCUUUUCUACGGAAUAGCUCUGGGAAACUGGAAUUAAUACCGUAUACGCCCUACGGGGGAAAGAUUUAUCGGGGAAGGAUUGGCCCGCGUUGGAUUAGCUAGUUGGUGGGGUAAAGGCCUACCAAGGCGACGAUCCAUAGCUGGUCUGAGAGGAUGAUCAGCCACAUUGGGACUGAGACACGGCCCAAACUCCGCCGGGGGGCCGCGGGGGGGAAAUUUGGACAAUGGGCCCAAGCCUGAACCAGCCAUGCCGGGGGAGUGAUGAAGGCCUUAGGGUUGAAAAGCUCUUUCACCGAUGAAGAUAAUGCCGGUAGUCGGAGAAGAAGCCCCGGCUAACUUCGG